GCCGGCGUCGUCUAAUGGAAAUGACGGGAGGUCGACACCCUCCUUGCGUGGGUUCGAAUCCCACCGCCGGCA
RNAcentral lists this transfer RNA (72 nucleotides) under Candidatus Woesearchaeota archaeon. Its description in RNAcentral is "tRNA-Val". It matches the Rfam family "tRNA". Rfam says of the family: Transfer RNA (tRNA) molecules are approximately 80 nucleotides in length. Their secondary structure includes four short double-helical elements and three loops (D, anti-codon, and T loops). Lineage: Archaea; Nanobdellati; Candidatus Woesearchaeota. The record is from RNAcentral.